This is an unclassified non-coding RNA of Macaca fascicularis (crab-eating macaque), 117 nucleotides long. It matches the Rfam family "Metazoan signal recognition particle RNA". From Rfam's summary of the family: The signal recognition particle (SRP) is a universally conserved ribonucleoprotein. It is involved in the co-translational targeting of proteins to membranes. The record is from Ensembl. Lineage: Eukaryota; Metazoa; Chordata; Mammalia; Primates; Cercopithecidae.
GCUGGGCAUGGUGGCUCAUGCCUGUAAUCCCAGCACUUUGGGAGGCUGAGGCAGGUGGAUUGCUUGAGCCCAGGAGUUUGAGACCAGCCUGGGCAACACGGCAAAACCCUGUCUCUC